RNAcentral lists this ribosomal RNA (407 nucleotides) under uncultured bacterium. Its description in RNAcentral is "partial 16S ribosomal RNA". It matches the Rfam family "Bacterial small subunit ribosomal RNA", at positions 355 to 779 of the family's 1533-position model. The record is from RNAcentral.
UGGGGAAUAUUGGACAAUGGGGGCAACCCUGAUCCAGCAAUGCCGCGUGUGUGAAGAAGGUCUUCGGAUUGUAAAGCACUUUCGACGGGGACGAUGAUGACGGUACCCGUAGAAGAAGCCCCGGCUAACUUCGUGCCAGCAGCCGCGGUAAUACGAAGGGGGCUAGCGUUGCUCGGAAUGACUGGGCGUAAAGGGCGUGUAGGCGGUUUACACAGUCAGAUGUGAAAUCCCCGGGCUUAACCUGGGAGCUGCAUUUGAUACGUGUAGACUAGAGUGUGAGAGAGGGUUGUGGAAUUCCCAGUGUAGAGGUGAAAUUCGUAGAUAUUGGGAAGAACACCGGUGGCGAAGGCGGCAACCUGGCUCAUGACUGACGCUGAGGCGCGAAAGCGUGGGGAGCAAACAGGUUA